GAUGAACGCUAGCGGCAGGCUUAAUACAUGCAAGUCGAGGGGCAUCAAGGUACACGAAAGUGUAUUGUUGGCGACCGGCGGACGGGUGAGUAAUAGGUAGGUAACCUACCUCAUACUGAGGCAUAGCUGGGAGAAAUUCCAGGUAAUUCCUCAUGAGGUUAUAUGACACAUGUGAUAUAAUCAAAGGUAUCGCAAGGUACUGGUAUGAGAUGGGCUUACUGACCAUUAGCUAGUUGGUGAGAUAAGAGCUCACCAAGGCGAAGAUGGUUAGGGGUUUUGAGAGAGAGAUCCCCACAUUGGAACUGAGAUACGGUCCAGACUCCUACGGGAGGCAGCAGUAGGGAAUAGUUGGGCAAUGGGCGGAAGCCUGACCCAGCCAUGCCGCGUGAAGGAAGACGGCCUUAGUGGGUUGUAAACUUCUUUACUAUGUCGACUAACUAGUAUUUACGAAGUAUAAUUCUAUAGAAUGUAGCAUAGACAAAAGCACGUACC
This 492-nucleotide ribosomal RNA is filed under the name uncultured bacterium. Its description in RNAcentral is "bacterial SSU rRNA". It matches the Rfam family "Bacterial small subunit ribosomal RNA", at positions 28 to 498 of the family's 1533-position model. The record is from RNAcentral.